This 270-nucleotide ribosomal RNA is filed under the name uncultured archaeon. RNAcentral's name for it is "partial 16S ribosomal RNA". It matches the Rfam family "Archaeal small subunit ribosomal RNA", at positions 477 to 747 of the family's 1478-position model. The record is from RNAcentral.
CUGCAGCCCGAGUGGUGAUCGAUUUUAUUGAGCCUAAAGCGUCCGUAGCCGGACUAGUAAACCCUUGGGUAAAUUGGGCAGCUUAACUGUCCAAAUUCCGAGGGGACUGCUAGUCUUGGGACCGGGAAAGGUCAGAGGUACUCAAGGGGUAGGGGCUAAAUCCUGUAAUCCUUUGGGGACCACCAGUGGCGAAGGCGUCUGACUAGAACGGAUCCGACGGUAAGGGACGAAACCCUGGGGCGCGAACCGGAUUAGAUACCCGAGUAGUCC